UGGGGAAUAUUGGACAAUGGGCGAAAGCCUGAUCCAGCCAUGCCGCGUGUGUGAAGAAGGUCUUCGGAUUGUAAAGCACUUUAAGUUGGGAGGAAGGGCAUUAACCUAAUACGUUAGUGUUUUGACGUUACCGACAGAAUAAGCACCGGCUAACUCUGUGCCAGCAGCCGCGGUAAUACAGAGGGUGCAAGCGUUAAUCGGAAUUACUGGGCGUAAAGCGCGCGUAGGUGGUUUGUUAAGUUGGAUGUGAAAUCCCCGGGCUCAACCUGGGAACUGCAUUCAAAACUGACUGACUAGAGUAUGGUAGAGGGUGGUGGAAUUUCCUGUGUAGCGGUGAAAUGCGUAGAUAUAGGAAGGAACACCAGUGGCGAAGGCGACCACCUGGACUAAUACUGCCACUGAGGUGCGAAAGCGUGGGGAGCAAACA
RNAcentral lists this ribosomal RNA (427 nucleotides) under uncultured bacterium. Its description in RNAcentral is "partial 16S ribosomal RNA". It matches the Rfam family "Bacterial small subunit ribosomal RNA", at positions 355 to 774 of the family's 1533-position model. The record is from RNAcentral.